RNAcentral lists this long non-coding RNA (377 nucleotides) under Monodelphis domestica (gray short-tailed opossum). RNAcentral describes it as "lncRNA (ENSMODG00000031047.2)". Lineage: Eukaryota; Metazoa; Chordata; Mammalia; Didelphimorphia; Didelphidae. The record is from RNAcentral.
UGAUCUCUUUUUUUCCUCAUGACUUUGGGAGGUGAGUGCUAUAAUGAAUUACCUUUAUUUUACAGGUGAGGAAACCAAGGCAGAGGUUGUGACUUCCCCAGUAAAUGCUGGAAUAAUUAAAAUUGCAGAAGCCAAGAGUGUGAAGGAAAUGAAAAACCAAAAAACCAUCUAGUGAUUUUUCUUGUUUCAUUCCAGAUUAUUUUCCAAAAGGGUGACCUUCCAUUGGAACCCAUCACUCUCUUCUUUUUCGGAAAUUCUUUCAGUGGCUUCUCCCCACUUGUCCUCAAGCUCUCCUUCAGUUGUCCAGGAUUUUUCAGUCUAGGUGGGUCACCAGAUCUUAUCAAAUAAGGCAGAGUCCACCUCUCUCCAGCUAGCCU